Molecule: non-coding RNA, 146 nt
Organism: Gossypium arboreum
Lineage: Eukaryota; Viridiplantae; Streptophyta; Magnoliopsida; Malvales; Malvaceae
Source: Rfam
AAUUAAAAAUUUUAUUUAUUUAUACUAUUAAAAAUUAAUAUGGCUGAUAAAAUAUCAAGACAGUAAUACUUUGUGUGUCAUGUGUAUCUCAUAUUAAUAUACAAUGACUAAUUUUUAACAAUAUAAAUGAAUGAAAAAUUUUAAUA